This 75-nucleotide transfer RNA is filed under the name Pseudomonadales bacterium. RNAcentral's name for it is "tRNA-Gly". It matches the Rfam family "tRNA". Rfam says of the family: Transfer RNA (tRNA) molecules are approximately 80 nucleotides in length. The record is from RNAcentral. Lineage: Bacteria; Pseudomonadati; Pseudomonadota; Gammaproteobacteria; Pseudomonadales.
GCGGGCGUCGUAUAACGGUCAUUACCUCAGCUUCCCAAGCUGGAGACGAGGGUUCGAUUCCCUUCGCCCGCUCCA